UUACAUGAUGAUUGUACAAACCCAUUUGCCCAGGCCCAACAAAAUAAAUAAGAAGCCCAAAACAUAAAAAAGGGCAUAGCCCAGACCCGAUGCAAGAAGGUUUCAGAACUCCAGUCCCUCCUCCAGCGCCGCGCCACCUGCUACCAUGUGCGUCUGACGCCUCCUGCCACCGCCGUACGGUCGCCUACAGACACGCAAGAAGAAAAGCAGAAGCAGACAAGACUAGACAAAAAAAUUUAGCUUUCUCUCGGCUAUAAAGCCGAAUAUUGUAAAAUGUAAACGGAGGGGAUUUUGUAUGAAAAGAGAUUAAAAAAUAGAAUACAAAAAGAGGUGAUUUUUCCUUUCUUAUGAUUCUGUUCUUUUUUUUUUUGAGAUCUACUUUUUUAUUUAUUUUGUUUUAAGAAAGUAAAAAUAAAAAAGGAGAAAAGGAAAAGCUUACCUGAAUCGGCCCUUAGAUCUGUCGUUAUCGGCCCUUCGCCGCCGACGGAUUCGGGUUUAGGGAAGGGCUAAGGCCUUUUUUCUCCUUGUUUCCCCGUUCUAAAAUUUUGGUCUUUGAACACGUUUCAAAAUGCUGAUCGGGAACGCCCUCGUGCGACGCCGGCCGUCGAUCACGGUGGUGCAAGCAACGGCAUUGUUGGCCGGACUUGGAGAGGACGAGAGAGAGGUUUUCAAACUCUCUGUUUCUUUUUUAAAAGGGGUGGC
Molecule: long non-coding RNA, 702 nt
Filed under: Gossypium barbadense (sea-island cotton)
Lineage: Eukaryota; Viridiplantae; Streptophyta; Magnoliopsida; Malvales; Malvaceae
Description: long non-coding RNA (GBAR_LNC017539)
Source: RNAcentral